This 537-nucleotide long non-coding RNA is filed under the name Mytilus galloprovincialis (Mediterranean mussel). The record is from RNAcentral. Lineage: Eukaryota; Metazoa; Mollusca; Bivalvia; Mytilida; Mytilidae.
GUCAAACUCGCAGACUAAUGUUAAUAACAACGCAGGCCCUAUUUAUACUAGUAAAUUGUCCGAAUUAUGAUAAUAAAACACUAACCAAAGAAAUAUCGUACGUACGUUUCUGAUGGGAUACCUACCUACAAGGACACACGGGGCAAAUCUAGUAAGGCUACUAGGGCAAAAGAUAUAAUUACACUAGGUCAUGGGAAAAUGAAAGUUGAUACAGGAAACAUCCGUUGUUUAUCACUAACCUUAUUCCUGAACAAAGAAUGGUCCUAAAAAACUCAUUAACAUACUAAAUUAAGAUGAGCAGGAAUAUGAAUGAUGAAAUACUGAUGAUAAGUGCAAAAGUAAAUGAACUUCAUGAAAUAUAAAAUAAAGAGGAAGGGUGAAACGCAAAUUCAAUACAUUAUUUUCAAAACAUUCGGUUAAAGAUAAGAUUGGAAAUUUCGUAUAACGUAUGAUAGACAUUGAAAAAAGGGAAAUAUAAAAACAGACAUUAACUAGAAAUCUUUAGUAGGUUAAUAUUGUCUGAAGUGUAUCUCUUCA